GGGUCAGUAGGUUGGUCGUGCCACCGGUACGUACUGGUCUCACUGAUUCCUCCUUCCUGAAGAACCGUAAUGCCAUUAAUUUGGUGUUGCGGGGAAACAGGACUGUUACUUUGAAAAAAUUAGAGUGCUUAAAGCAAGCUAACGCUUGAAUACAUUAGCAUGGAAUAAUGAAAUAGGACGAUCGAUCCUAUUUUGCUGGUUUCUAGGAUUGACGUA
This 216-nucleotide ribosomal RNA is filed under the name Glomeromycotina sp. RNAcentral describes it as "partial small subunit ribosomal RNA". The stretch from base 44 to 216 matches the Rfam family "Eukaryotic small subunit ribosomal RNA", at positions 690 to 864 of the family's 1831-position model. Lineage: Eukaryota; Fungi; Glomeromycota. The record is from RNAcentral.